UACGUAGGGCGCAAGCGUUGUCCGGAAUUAUUGGGCGUAAAGAGCUCGUAGGCGGUUUGUCGCGUCUGCUGUGAAAAUCCGGGGCUCAACCCCGGACUUGCAGUGGGUACGGGCAGGCUAGAGUGUGGUAGGGGAGACUGGAAUUCCUGGUGUAGCGGUGGAAUGCGCAGAUAUCAGGAGGAACACCGAUGGCGAAGGCAGGUCUCUGGGCCACUACUGACGCUGAGAAGCGAAAGCAUGGGGAGCGAACAGG
Molecule: ribosomal RNA, 253 nt
Filed under: uncultured bacterium
Lineage: Bacteria
Description: partial 16S ribosomal RNA
Rfam family: Bacterial small subunit ribosomal RNA
Source: RNAcentral